Molecule: ribosomal RNA, 497 nt
Filed under: uncultured bacterium
Lineage: Bacteria
Description: partial 16S ribosomal RNA
Rfam family: Bacterial small subunit ribosomal RNA
Source: RNAcentral
GAUGAACGCUGGCGGCGUGCCUAAUACAUGCAAGUCGAGCGAACAGACGAGGAGCUUGCUCCUCUGACGUUAGCGGCGGACGGGUGAGUAACACGUGGAUAACCUACCUAUAAGACUGGGAUAACUUCGGGAAACCGGAGCUAAUACCGGAUAAUAUAUUGAACCGCAUGGUUCAAUAGUGAAAGACGGUUUUGCUGUCACUUCUAGAUGGAUCCGCGCCGCAUUAGCUAGUUGGUAAGGUAACGGGUUACCAAGGCAACGAUGCGUAGCCGAACUGAGAGGGGGAUCGGCCACACUGGAACUGAGACACGGUCCAGACUCCUACGGGAGGCAGCAGUAGGGAAUCUUCCGCAAUGGGCGAAAGCUUGACGGAGCAACGCCGCGUGAGUGAUGAAGGUCUUCGGAUCGUAAAACUCUGUUAUUAGGGAAGAACAAAUGUGUAAGUAACUAUGCACGUCUUGACGGUACCUAAUCAGAAAGCCACGGCUAACUACGUG